CUAUGUAGCAGUUUGUUUUAGUCAUUUUUGAAAAAAUUGUUGCUGCUCCAGAAAGUGUUGUGAUUCCCAGCGUAAGCCUGGGUAAGCACAUUUACUUAAGAACACCAUAAAUUGUUAAAACAUCCAUCUGGAAAAUAGCAUUUCUGGUUUGGGAAGACGAUAGACUGCUUAAAAGUAGUCUAGAUUUUUAAUGACUCCUUUAGCUACUACCAUGAUAAAAAACCAAGUGUAAUAUAAUUUCUUAAGGAAAUAGUAGAAUUUUAUUUAUGGAAGAAAUAAUUCUCUUAGAAAAAGUCCUGGGUCAAGCUGAAUCAUUAGCUUCUAUAUUGCAUAUCUGUUAUGCAUUACAGAGUUCACUGUACCUUCAACUUUGCUUUACUAACAUGAACAGUUGAAGAUCCUGUUUUGAAUAUAAAACUUUGAUAUACAAUUUUUUUUGGAACUCUUAAUAAUUGUUGAUAAUUGUUCAUACACUGAUGACCUGAUAAAAUGUAUGACAUCAUUCUCUGUAGAAGCAAACAGAUUAACCUCCAUCCCAAUGCUGAAGCUGUCAAAUUUCUGCUUGAUAUUAAACUAACAAAUACCAUGGUUUAUUUUCUUUACCCAAAAGAGAUCAUGACAAUGUGUCAUAUUGGAGUGACAAAAAAAAUUAGAAACAAGAAAUUCAAGAAAAUCCAAUCUCAUGCAGAUUUUGCCAUAAUCGUGUACUUAUAUUUAUUUAUUGCUUUUGAAAAAAUAAAUGUGUAAAAGUUAAUCAUUAUUUUCUAGUUCUUUCCAAAGAAAAUACUGCCAUCCUACAUUCCCACUGAAAAAUUAUUCACUUAAACCAGCACUGUUAUUUUCAGAGUACUCUCAAUGUAUAAUUAAAAGAAAAUACUGAAAAUUUUAAUGUAUUUGUUAAUACCACAGUUUUAUAUGUAUAGUAUUUACAAGUUUUUCUUACAUUCCUGAAAUUCAGUUUGAUGUAUUAGAGAUAAUAAUGAUAAAAUGGUUUUUUUUAUUAUAAUAGAAAGUAAAGGAGGGAGGGAGGGAAAUGUGCCAUUAAGACAAAACAAACAAAAAAACUUUUCAGAUAUUAUUUCCCUUCAGUGAAGAGGUUAUCAAGAAUUUCAGAGCAACUCUAUCUUAAUUGUCAUAUUUUGUAUUUUUUUCCACAGAUGACAUUGAGUUGCUGAUUUGGGUCUUUGGAUUUGAUUAGUUGUAUGUUGUAGUAUUUCCCGGACAGCCUGAAUUUGUACUGACUGAAACUCAAUACCCUUUUAUGGAUUACAUCUUAAGAAAAAUUAAAAGAACCUAAACACCUUAGUUUUUGAUGCAUGAAUAGUCCGUUCUGCAUAUAAGAAAUCUUUAUCAUCUCUGGCAAAAGAGACAGGACAGAGAAUGGACACAAGCUGGGCUAUAUUCUAUCUGCAGAUUUUCCUGCACUUAGUCCCUUCCCACUGUGUAAUGCAAGGCAAACAGACGGGUUUCAGAGUUUCAUGUGUAUGUUACAAGCAUUUAAAUUCACUUUAUAGUUUUAUUUCUAAGAAUCUCUUACAUGUAUAUGUAUGUUUAUAUAUGUGCAUACAUAUGUGUGUAUACAUGCAUACAUCUCUUAAAACACCCUACACCCAAAGAAAACCCAAGUCCAAAUUGCAGUAAACAUCAUGAUUCACUGGCUAAUAUUUAUAUCGGUUACAAUCCAUGCUUGGGAAGUGAGAAUUUCCAUUAUAUAGAUGAGUAUAAUUAGAGUGAGGCUUCAGUUUACAACUAGGAUUUGGAAUGUAUCUUGUUUUCCUUGUUGAAUUUUCUGUGUCCUCACCUAUUUGUCCUGCAUUUGGAAUAGAACUCUUCCCUUUUAGUCCCAAUCUGCUCAAACUUGUUGAUAUUAGAUUAGCUGGCUGAUAUUAAUCAUUUUGGACUUAAAAGCCAUAACAUGAUUAUGUGAAUUGUUUGUUUUGAUUCCAAGCAUUUUGUUUAUGAGUCAUAAAUCAGAAUUCUAUUUACCUAGAGAUAGAGAGUCUUAUUGUGUAGGCAGGCUUAAGAAAAUCUGUGCAAAAAGUUGAACAUAAACUGGGAAGGAAGGGGAGUCCAAGUGGAUUUCAUUAGAGCUGUCAUAAAACUGCAAAAAAGAUUCAUGAUUAUUUCCAGAACGAUUCUUAAACAGUCAUGACUUUUAGUAAAAUACAUUUUGUACUGCCUUUCAAAUACUUGUUUUAAUGUUUUCCUGUUUGAUGUGCCAGGUGAUUCAAAGCCCACAAAAAAGAAUUAUAUGCUUAGACUUCUUUGUUAAUCAUGCAGUAGUUUAAUUGAAAAUUUGAUGUUAAAACUUUCUAGUAUAUGAUUUAAUUUAAUGAGCCACCCAGAGUAUCUGUACAGUUUUGUAGUAGAGAAAGAAUAGUUUAGCCUUUAACAGAGCUGAAGAUUUAGAAUCCUGAAGUGUUGGGGUUCUAAAAAGUAGCCUUCUACCUUUUUUUGGUCAAAUAGAUAGAUUGCCUGUGCCUCAGUUUUAAUCUAUAAAUGGAAAAAAUCUUUGUCUUUUGGACCUAUGAGUAAAUGGCACAGUAUAAGCACAAAGUAUUAUUUAUAGUAGUCCACAUGUAUUGUGUACACUUUUAACUGAAGUGCUUUUUGAGAACCAUUUUCCAUUCAACCAUGUCAUUUUGGAGUAAAAUUGCUUGCUGAAAGAUUUGUUUCCAGGUCAACUUUUUUGUGUAGUUAUAUGUGUUGUAUUAUCUUCUCUUGUUAAGAUGUGGUAUUUCCCUAAAGUAUUUUUCAGAAUGCUUUUAUACUGUGAAAGGUGCAGUGAGAGAUGGGUCUUGUCAAAACAGGUGCAUCUGGUGGAAAACAUUUAGCAAUCUAUUUUUUAUUCAAAUCUCUUUCAUAGAUUAAAAAAAUUAAAUUAUGUAUACCUGCUGUCAAUGGAAUAAAGUCAUCAAGAUUCAAGUAUGUGUUUAUGAAUUUUUCUAUAAAUAGAAAGACAACCAUCUCUCUUCACUUAGAGACCUUUGGGGAUUUGGCUGCCCCAUAUUCUUCAAGUGCUCUCAUUCUCAUUGUUAUUUCUGAUUAUUGGUGUAAAGUGUUAUUUAAUAAAGUGUGGUUAAAUUCUUGGUUUUUUUUUUUUUUUAAGUGACUGCAGAGAGAAAAACAACUUAAUGGAAUCUGAUAAUUCUUGCUGAAUUCUUUAAUUGAGCCAAAUAAAUCUUCAUUCAGUGAAUUUCUAAACUAAAAUUCAGUUUUCUUUAGCCCUUAUCUAAAGUCAUAAUUUGAUAUUCUAAUGUGACUCCUAAUAUUGAU
Molecule: long non-coding RNA, 3276 nt
Organism: Sarcophilus harrisii (Tasmanian devil)
Lineage: Eukaryota; Metazoa; Chordata; Mammalia; Dasyuromorphia; Dasyuridae
Source: Ensembl